CCUACGGGGUGCAGCAGUGAGGAAUAUUGGUCAAUGGACGAGAGUCUGAACCAGCCAAGUAGCGUGAAGGAUGACUGCCCUAUGGGUUGUAAACUUCUUUUAUAUGGGAAUAAAACGUUCCACGUGUGGGAUUUUGUAUGUACCAUAUGAAUAAGGAUCGGCUAACUCCGUGCCAGCAGCCGCGGUAAUACGGAGGAUCCGAGCGUUAUCCGGAUUUAUUGGGUUUAAAGGGAGCGUAGGUGGAUUGUUAAGUCAGUUGUGAAAGUUUGCGGCUCAACCGUAAAAUUGCAGUUGAAACUGGCAGUCGUGAGUACAGUAGAGGUGGGCGGAAUUCGUGGUGUAGCGGUGAAAUGCUUAGAUAUCACGAAGAACUCCGAUUGCGAAGGCAGCUCACUGGACUGCAACUGACACUGAGGCUCGAAAGUGUGGGUAUCAAACAGGAUUAGAUACCCUGGUAGUC
This 460-nucleotide ribosomal RNA is filed under the name uncultured bacterium. Its description in RNAcentral is "partial 16S ribosomal RNA". It matches the Rfam family "Bacterial small subunit ribosomal RNA", at positions 338 to 795 of the family's 1533-position model. The record is from RNAcentral.